RNAcentral lists this ribosomal RNA (591 nucleotides) under uncultured bacterium. RNAcentral describes it as "bacterial SSU rRNA". It matches the Rfam family "Bacterial small subunit ribosomal RNA", at positions 202 to 812 of the family's 1533-position model. The record is from RNAcentral.
AAAAGCUCCGGCAGUAUAGGAUGGUCCCGCGUCUGAUUAGCUGGUUGGCGGGGUAACGGCCCACCAAGGCGACGAUCAGUAGCCGGCUUGAGAGAGUGGACGGCCACAUUGGGACUGAGACACGGCCCAAACUCCUACGGGAGGCAGCAGUGGGGAAUAUUGCACAAUGGGGGGAACCCCGAUGCAGCGACGCCGCGUGAGUGAAGAAGUAUUUCGGUAUGUAAAGCUCUAUCAGCAGGGAAGAAAAAAGACGGUACCUGACUAAGAAGCCCCGGCUAACUACGUGCCAGCAGCCGCGGUAAUACGUAGGGGGCAAGCGUUAUCCGGAAUUACCGGGUGUAAAGGGUGCGUAGGUGGCAUGGUAAGUCAGAAGUGAAAGCCCGGGGCUUAACCCCGGGACUGCUUUUGAAACUGUCAUGCUGGAGUACAGGAGAGGUAAGCGGAAUUCCUAGUGUAGCGGUGAAAUGCGUAGAUAUUAGGAGGAACACCAGUGGCGAAGGCGGCUUACUGGACUGUCACUGACACUGAUGCACGAAAGCGUGGGGAGCAAACAGGAUUAGAUACCCUGGUAGUCCACGCCGUAAACGAUGA